RNAcentral lists this ribosomal RNA (450 nucleotides) under uncultured bacterium. RNAcentral's name for it is "bacterial SSU rRNA". It matches the Rfam family "Bacterial small subunit ribosomal RNA", at positions 395 to 842 of the family's 1533-position model. The record is from RNAcentral.
UGCCGCGUGUGUGAAGAAGGCUUCGGGUUGUAAAGCACUUUCAAUUGGGAAGAAAAGCUCACCGUUAAUAGCGGUGAGCCCUGACAUUACCUUUAGAAGAAGCACCGGCUAACUCCGUGCCAGCAGCCGCGGUAAUACGGAGGGUGCGAGCGUUAAUCGGAAUUACUGGGCGUAAAGCGCGCGUAGGCGGUUUGUUAAGUCAGCUGUGAAAGCCCCGGGCUCAACCUGGGAACUGCAGGUGAUACUGGCCGACUAGAGUACGAGAGAGGGAGGUAGAAUUCCAUGUGUAGCGGUGAAAUGCGUAGAUAUAUGGAGGAAUACCGGUGGCGAAGCGGCCUCCUGGCUCGAUACUGACGCUGAGGUGCGAAAGCGUGGGGAUCAAACAGGAUUAGAUACCCUGGUAUCCCGCUGUAAACGAUGUCUACUACCGUUGGGAGACUUGAUUUCUUA